ACGCUGGCGGCGUGCUCACACAUGCAAGUCGAACGAGGUCCAUCCUUCGGGAGAAGACCUAGUGGCGAACGGGUGCGUAACACGUGAGCAACCUGCCCCGAAGACCGGGAUAACAGCGGGAAACCGCUGCUAAUACCGGAUGUCCCCAUCGGACCACAUGGCCUGAUGAGGAAAUGGAUUCCGCUUCGGGAUGGGCUCGCGGCCUAUCAGCUUGUUGGUGGGGUAACGGCCCACCAAGGCUACGACGGGUAGCUGGUCUGAGAGGACGAUCAGCCACACUGGGACUGAGACACGGCCCAGACUCCUACGGGAGGCAGCAGUGGGGAAUCUUGCGCAAUGGGCGAAAGCCUGACGCAGCAACGCCGCGUGAGGGAUGACGGCCUUCGGGUUGUAAACCUCUUUCGAGCAGGGACGAUUAUGACGGUACCUGCAGAAGAAGCUCCGGCCAACUACGUGCCAGCAGCCGCGGUAAUACGUAUGGAGCGAGCGUUGUCCGGAUUCAUUGGGCGU
Molecule: ribosomal RNA, 510 nt
Filed under: uncultured bacterium
Lineage: Bacteria
Description: bacterial SSU rRNA
Rfam family: Bacterial small subunit ribosomal RNA
Source: RNAcentral